RNAcentral lists this ribosomal RNA (434 nucleotides) under uncultured bacterium. Its description in RNAcentral is "bacterial SSU rRNA". It matches the Rfam family "Bacterial small subunit ribosomal RNA", at positions 958 to 1393 of the family's 1533-position model. The record is from RNAcentral.
AACGCGAAGAACCUUACCAGGUCUUGACAUCCAGAGAACUUUCCAGAGAUGGAUUGGUGCCUUCGGGAACUCUGAGACAGGUGCUGCAUGGCUGUCGUCACCUCGUGUCGUGAGAUGUUGGGUUAAGUCCCGCAACGAGCGCAACCCUUGUCCUUAGUUGCCAGCGAUUCGGGCGGGCACUCUAGGGAGACUGCCGGUGACAAACCGGAGGAAGGGGGGGACGACGUCAAGUCAUCAUGGCCCUUACGACCUGGGCUACACCCCUGCUACAAUGGGCGGUACAAAGGGGUGCGAAACCGCGAGGGGGAGCGAAUCCCUUAAAACCGGUCUAGUCCGGAUUGGAGUCUGCAACUCGACUCCAUGAAGUCGGAAUCGCUAGUAAUCGCGAAUCAGAAUGUCGCGGUGAAUACGUUCCCGGGUCUUGUACACACCGA